UCUAAGAAAAUUGCGCCAGUAGUUCUCUGGAAGACUUCUCCAGGGAUUUAUCGAAAGGUUUCCAAGUGUUUAUCCGAAAAUUAUUUAAGGAAUUCUUAAAAGGAGUCGUUCAGGAAUUUCCUUUUUAACUGAAUUUAAAAAUGGAACAACACAAAGGGACAGGUCAUAAUUGUCGAAUUGUUCCUGUGAUUUCAAAACUUGUUACUGUUGUGCUAUUGCUGAUAAGUUGAUCAAUAGUACAACAAUAACUAAACUUGUAC
Long non-coding RNA from Aedes albopictus (Asian tiger mosquito), 260 nucleotides. RefSeq lists it as uncharacterized. The record is from RefSeq and is a predicted model, not a curated record. NCBI's taxonomy places the organism in Eukaryota, Metazoa, Arthropoda, Insecta, Diptera, Culicidae. The transcript is spliced from 2 exons.